Molecule: ribosomal RNA, 254 nt
Filed under: uncultured bacterium
Lineage: Bacteria
Description: partial 16S ribosomal RNA
Rfam family: Bacterial small subunit ribosomal RNA
Source: RNAcentral
UACGUAGGGUGCGAGCGUUGUCCGGAAUUAUUGGGCGUAAAGGGCUCGUAGGCGGUUUGUCGCGUCGGGAGUGAAAACCCAGGGCUUAACCCUGGGCUGGCUUCCGAUACGGGCAGACUAGAGGUAUGCAGGGGGAGAACGGAAUUCCUGGUGUAGCGGUGAAAUGCGCAGAUAUCAGGAGGAACACCAAUGGCGAAGGCAGCUCUCUGGGACGGUACUGACGCUGAGACGCGAAAGCGUGGGGAGCGAACAGG